UACGUAGGUUUCCACCACUUCUGAAUUCACCAGAUGAAGUUCCGCCCCCAUUCAUUUUCAACAGGAGCAUGCGGAUUGUUGCAAGGUUAGCGGCAUGGAGGAGGAUUGCAGAGAUUGAUGGUGUUGAUGGUGGGUGAAGAGAGAUUUGCACAACAAUGUUUGCUUGUGCUACUAGCUAGCUAUGAACAUCAAGCAACCUAAACCUCAAAACUGUGAUCAAAGCCACCAAUUUGUGAACGUGUUGAGUAAAUUAAACUGUGAAAUUUCCCCAACAAAGGAUAAAAAUCAUCAAGUAACGCAUUAUAACAUUGUAAAUUAUAUACUAAGCAUGAAUUCCCCAUGUAAUAUGCUACCAAUUGGAUUAUAGUAUUUUAACAUUAUGAUUCUCAUAUAUUAUAGCUUAUGGCUCUUUAUACUUGUCAUGACAUUGAUGACUAUAGUUUACAUUCUGUAAAAUACAUGGGCCUACAUUCACAUGAAUGGGUAAUUUAUGUAAAGGAAAUUGUGGCAAAUCUAUCUUUACCCACCAUCAACACCAAUCCUCCUCCAUGCCAUUGACAUUCUGAUUUUGUCUGUAUUCUAAAAUCAUUGUCGGCAAAUAAACACAGUACAAUUACAACGCUUCCCAUGCCACAUUGUUUUCUUUUUUGAUAUUUUUAAUUUGCCAACAAAUUUGAGUUGAGCUAUUCUCUGCUUCAGAUGUACAAUGACAAGGGGCGUACAAUGACAAAAUAAAUCCAUGCUUUUGUCACUUCUAGGUUAGACUACUGCAAUGCUCUACUUUCCGGCUACCCAGAUAAAGCACUAAAUAACCUUCAGUUAGUGCUAAACACGGCUGCUAGAAUCUUGACUAGAACCAAAAGAUGUGAUCAUAUUACUCCAGUGCUAGCCUCUCUACAGUGGCUUCCUGUUAAGGCUAGGGCUGAUUUCAAGGUUUUACUGCUAACCUACAAAGCAUUACAUGGGCUUGCUCCUACCUAUCUUUCCAAUUUGGUCAUGCCGUACAUACCUACACGUACGAUACGGUCACAAGACGCAGGACUCCUUACUGUCCCUAGAAUUUCUCAGCAAACAGCUGGAGGCAGGGCUUUCUCCUAUCGAGCUACAUUUUUAUGGAAUGGUCUGCCUAUCCAUGUGAGACGCAGACUCGGUCUCGACCUUUAAGUCUUUAUUGAAGACUCAUCUCUUCAGUAGGGCCUUUGCUUGUGUAGUCUUGCCCAGGGGUGUGAAGGUGAACGGAAAGGCACUGGAGCAACGAACCACCCUUGCUGUCUCUGUCUGGCCAGUUCCCCUCUCUCCAAAGGGAUUCUCUGCCUCAAACCAUAUUACGGGGGCGGAGUCACUGGCUUACUGGUGCUCUUUCAUGCCGUCCCUAGGAUGGAUGCGUCACUUUUGUGGGUUGAGUCACUGACGUGAUCUUCCUGUCCGGGUUAGCACCCCCUCUUGGGUUUGUGAGGUGGGGGAGAUCUUUGUGGGCUAUACUUGACCUUGUCUCAGGAUGGUAAGUUGGUGAUUGAAGAUAUCCCUCUAGUGGUGUGGGGGCUGUGCUUUGGCAAAGUGGGUGGGGUUAUAUCCUGCCUGUUUGGCCCUGUCCGGGGGUAUCGUUGGACGGGGCCAGUGUCUCCCGACCCCUCCUGUCUCAGCCUCCAGUAUUUAUGCUGCAAAAGUUUGUGCUGGGGGGGCUACGGUCAGUCUGUUAUAUGGAGUAUGUAUCCUGUCUUAUCCAUCCUGUCUUAUCCAGUGUCCUGUGUGAAUUUAAGUAUGUUCUCUCUAAUUCUUUCCUUUUCUCUCUCUCUCGGAGGACCUGAGCCUCAGGACUAUAUGGCCUGAUGACUCCUUGCUGUCCCCAGUCCACCUGGUCAUGCUGCUGCUCCAGUUUCAACUGUUCUGCCUGCGGCUAUGGAACCCUGACCUGUUCACCGGACGUGCUACCUGUCCCAGACCUGCUGUUUUCAACUCUCUAGAGACAGCAGGAGCGGUAGAGAUACUCUGAAUGAUCGGCUAUGAAAAGCCAACUGACAUUUACUCCUGAGGUGCUGACCUGUUGCACCCUCUACAACCACUGUGAUUAUUAUUAUUUGAUCCUGCUGGUCAUCUAUGAACAUUUGAACAUCUUGGCCAUGUUCUGUUAUAAUCUCCACCCGGCACAGCCAGAAGAGGACUGGCCACCCCUCAUAGCCUGGUUCCUCUCUAGGUUUCUUCCAAGGGAGUUUUUCCUAGCCACUGUGCUUCUACACCUGCAUAGCUUACUGUUUGGGGUUUUAGGCUGUGUUUCUGUACAGCACUUUGUGACAUCAGCUGAUGUAAGAAGGGCUUUAUAAAUACAUUUGAUUGAUUGACAAGGAGCAAAUUGAUUGCACAUGCCCUUUAGGCCAGUUAUGCCAUCAUACUGUAGGCCUAUGGCUGCAUUGGUGAUGCAUGCCAUUAUGAUAAGCUGUAAAAUGGGCUCACAUGGCAGAUAUGCUGAGACAGAGUGACAAUCAAAUAAAACCGAUUGGAGAGUUCACAAAUGGACAAAAAUUUAAUUUUCAUUUGAGAAAGCAACACAGAAACAUUAGAGACAGAUCCUCUUCACACCUUUUUUAAAUGUAUUUAUUUUAGUACUUUUCUCCCAAAUUUUGUGAUAUCCAAUUGGUAGUUACAGUCUUGUCCCAUCGCUGCAACUCCAGUACGGACUCGGGAAAGGCGAAGGUCGAGAGCCAUGCUUCCUCCGAAACACGACCCUGCCAAGCUGAACUGCUCCUUGACACUGCUCGCUUAACCCAGAAGCCAGCUGCAACAAUGUGUUGGAGGAAACACCGUACAAAUGGCAACCGAAAUCAGCUUGCAGGUGCCCGGCCUGCCACAAGGAGUCGCUAGAGCGCAACGGGACAAGGAAAUCCCGGCCGGCCAAACCCUCCCAUAACCCAGAUGACGCUGGGCCAAUUGUGCGCCGCCUCCUGGGUCUCCCAGUCACGGCCGGCUGUGACAGAGCCUGGGAUCGAACCCGUGGCUGUAGUGAUGCCUCAAGCACUGCGAUGCAGUGCCUUAAACCGCUGCGUCAUUCCUCUUCACACCUUUUUAUUGCAGAAUUAUGAUCUGUGAUGAAUGACAUUGACACUUGUUCAUCUUAAAUAAUGUUUUUAAGUCAUUAAAACAAGUCUAAACACUUCAAUGAAUCAACAUUGAAUGAAUCAAAAUAUAAUUUCAAAAUGUACAAAUAAUCUAAUGUUUGUAAAUGUACAUCUUUGUAGUAUAGGCUAUUAUUACUAAAGCAAAAUUUCAGGUGAACAAAAAAGUCCAUACCAGAGGUGGCCAACCUUGCUCCACUCCCUGAUCUACUGGGUGAGCAGACUUCUAUUCCAGCCCAGCAAUAAUACACAGCAUUAUCAACUCAUUGGGUUUGCUAAGUUGAAUCAGGUGUGUUAGUGCUGGGCUGGAACAGAAGUCGGCACACUCAGCAUACCUCCAGAAGGACUGACCUGCUACAGUUGUAAUGCGUUUGUAGCCUACACUGUGUAUGACUUAACUGUAUUGUUGUAUACAACAUUUGCUAACAUAAGUACACAUACAAUCCAUGGCAUACAAGGAUGUGCCUGCAGUCUCUUGGGACAUUCACUGGGACCUCUUCAUCUGAAGACAGACUUUCGCAGCUCUCCAUAUCUGAGGACAGACAUCACAAAACAGGCUUAAUUUCAUUACAAUUAGACAGCCCUGGCUACUAUCUCUCUCGGUCUUCAUAGUUUUCCUCUCUAGGGACUAAAACUGGAGAAUAUUUAAUGUCAUACCAGAACCUGCCCUAUCUAACUACACUGAACAAAAAUAUACAUUCAACAUGUAGUGUUGGUCCCAUGUUUCAUGAGCUGAAAUAAACGAUCCCAGAAAUGUUCCAUAUGCACAAAAAACUUUUCUCUCAAAUUCUGUACACAAAAUGGUUUACAUCCCUGUUAGUGAGCAUUUCUCCUUUGCCAAGAUAAUCCAUCCACCUUACAGUUGUGGCAUAUCAAAAAUAAUGAUCAUUACACAGGUGCACCUUGUGCUGGGGACAAUAAAGGGCCACAACACAAUGCCACAGAUGUCUCAAGUUGAGGGAAUGUCCACCAGGGAUGCUGCCAGAGAAUUUAAUGUUCAAUUCUCUACCAUAAGCCACCUGCAACAUCGUUUUAGAAAAUGUGGCAGUACGUCCAACCGGUCUCACAACCACAUGUAACCACGCCAGCCCAGGACCUCCACAUCCGGCUUCUUCACCUGCGGGAUCAUCUUGGGUCCAGCCACCCGUACUGCUGAUGAAACUGAGGAGUAUUUCUGUCUGUAAUAAAGUCCUUUUGUGGGGAAAACCUCAUUCUGAGUGGCUGGGCCUGGCUCACCCAUGGCUGCACCCCUGCCCAGGCAUGUGAAAUCAGUAGAUUAGGGCCUAAUUUAUUUAUUUCAAUCAACUGAUUUCCUUAUAUGAACUGAAACUUAGUACAAUUUUUGAAAUUAUUGCCUGUUGCGUUUAUAUUUUUGUUCAGAAUAGUACACCUACUCCCUUUUCUGGCAGCUGGAGUAGAAAACCCAUAACCCUUCCAUUGCCGUUAUCUACAAAUCCAUUUGGAGCAUGAGUUUUUAAUUCACAAUGAUAAAUAGGCCUACAUCAAGAUAACAUGCCAAUAUGAAGUUAUCUAGCUGAUGAUAUUUCACUUAGCUAUUGCAUGUAAGAUGGCUGGCUAGCUAGCUAGCUAACAAGCAGCUCAUUCGCCUACACCAGGGGUGUGAAACCUUUUUGCCAUCAUUGGCCAUUUGGAUAUUUGGGCCGUAUUAUUAAAAAUGUGCUAUUUUCUGCUUUAUUCAUGUUUUAAUGUGACUUUAAUCACUGACAUUGGUUUUAUAGUUUAUAUAUGACUUGUAUGAUGUUUAUUGUGUCCUUGAGUAAUUAGAAAAGUGCUAGUCCUAUUUAAAUAAAUGUUAGUAUUGUAAAUAAUGUUGUCAUUGUUAUUAUGAUUACUUGUUCAAACUCACCUCUAAUGCGAUGGCUGAAACUGCUUAUAUUUGACGAGGCAUUUGCUGUCAGUGAAGAUGACUCUACUCGCAGCUGGUUUUCCCAGGUUCCAGUCAGUCUUGAGCGGAAUCGAGUCUUUGCAAGAGUCCGUUUGGAAAAUAACUGCUCACAGCAGUAGGUCGUCCAUAACACAGAUGCACAUUUAAGUGCAUGGCUUCUCAGAACAGGAAAAUGCUCCGCGCUAACGUACAUUUUGUAGAACUCAAUGAGAGGGAGGUUGUUGUACCUGGCUUCGAGCUCGUCAUUGUUAUGCAGCUCAAUGACUUCGUGUUGUAGGCCAUCCGGCACAUCCGCUGGUUCGACGUUAAACGGGGCUGCAAAUGUGUUCAACUCCAGUUGUUUACUUUUCACAUCCUUAAACCGUUCACAAAAUGCCUUCGCGAGCUUUCCACUCACCGGUAUAUUCCGACGUAAUCUCAGGCUCUUGUCCUUGCAGAGUAGGUAAAUGUACAGUGUUACCCCUUUCUAGUUGGACUUGCCACAGCUUUAAUUUUGAAGCUGGUUCGGCACAUAGAGCUUGACGUUCAAGUCAGACAGAUACUUGGUUAUGUUGGGUUUUAUUUCACUUAUUAGAUGUGAUGCAUUACCAUUUACAGUAGAUGUAGGCCUAAGUAUGAACGGACUGUAAUGCACUAAGAGGUUUAUAUUGUAUUAACAUAGAUUGAGCAACAUAUAAUAGACAUGACUAACUGGAGGGUUGCUGGCUAGUAGGAGUGUAGGCGGAGUAGACUCGUGACACACACACACACAAUGCCUGGUUGUGGGGCCGCUCAAGGACAGCAGAAACUGUCCUAACUGUAGCAUAAAAACAGGCACUGUCCUUGGGUGUCUGACUCUCGGGUACACACAUGAAGAUAAGCUAGAAGACAACUAUGCUUGGCAACAAAGAUGCGUCUAGUGGCUGGGACCAGCCUGCACGCCAACGAUAGGCUGGAGUAAGUUUAAACCACGCUCAUCCUCCCUCUGACAGGCCAGCAGUGAGCGGGAACUAUCUCUGUCAGAGUAUUUAAUGAAAAGCAAAGGAUGUGUCACUCAGUUCUCUGUUUGCCCUGCGAGGUGUUACAGUGAACCCGUAUAUACGAAGAUUGCAUUUACCAUUUAUUCUGCUUGACUAAUUCUAUUAAUAAACAGCUGAAAAUAUAUUCAGUAGCCUAGUGUUAAAUUUGGUUCUGAUACCAGAAUUGAAUUGACGCAGCCCCAACAGUAUGUCCACCAUGAAGACCAAAUCACACAUCCACUUGUCAUCACUCAGUUCCGCGACAGGUUUCCCCUUCAUCUCCAUGAAUUGUUUUACUUCAUCCUUCAGUCACUGCUCAACCAUCGCACCUCACAGUGGUAAACCAGAUCACCAUACUCCGAUUCAAGCUCACUCAAUAGCUCCAUAAAUUGGCGGUUGUUCAGCCCUUUGCUUUUGAUAAAAUUGAUGGUCGACACUACAGUUGCCAUUACGUUGUUCGGCUUCAGGGACCGUGCACACAGACUUUCUUGAAGUAUGAUGCAGUUACAUACAAUUACAUCACUUGGAUCAAGACUGAGACAACUCAUUUAUUUUUUCACUAAUACGGUUAAGCCCUUUUUCAAGCCAACCACGGCUGGCGCUCCAUCUGUAGUAAGGCCACUUAAUUUUUCAAACCGUAGCUCAAAUUUGCUCACUGCCGAGACAAGUCUCUCAAACAAGUUUCCUGCCUCACACAGGAAGCGGCGCAGGUCCUAAUCCAGGCACUUGUCAUCUCCCGUCUGGAUUACUGCAACUCGCUGUUGGCUGGGCUCCCUGCCUGUGCCAUUAAACCCCUACAACUCAUCCAGAACGCCGCAGCCCGUCUGGUGUUCAACCUUCCCAAGUUCUCUCACGUCACCCCGCUCCUCCGCUCUCUCCACUGGCUUCCAGUUGAAGCUCGCAUCAGCUACAAGACCAUGGUGAUUGCCUACGGAGCUGUGAAGGGAACGGCACCUCCAUACCUUCAGGCUCUGAUCAGGCCCUACACCCAAACAAGGGCACUGCGUUCAUCCACCACUGGCCUGCUCGCCCCCCUACCUCUGAGGAAGCACAGUUCCCGCUCAGCCCAGUCAAAACUGUUCGCUUCU
This 7102-nucleotide long non-coding RNA is filed under the name Salmo salar (Atlantic salmon). RNAcentral describes it as "lncRNA (ENSSSAG00000096066.1)". Lineage: Eukaryota; Metazoa; Chordata; Actinopteri; Salmoniformes; Salmonidae. The record is from RNAcentral.